Molecule: ribosomal RNA, 184 nt
Filed under: uncultured bacterium
Lineage: Bacteria
Description: partial 16S ribosomal RNA
Rfam family: Bacterial small subunit ribosomal RNA
Source: RNAcentral
GCAACUCGCCUACAUGAAGUCGGAGUUGCUAGUAAUCGCGGAUCAGAAUGCCGCGGUGAAUGCGUUCCCGGGUCUUGUACACACCGCCCGUCACACCAUGGAAGUUGGGGGCGCCCGAAGUUGCCUAAGAAAUAAGGUACCUAAGGCGAAACCAAUGACUGGGGUGAAGUCGUAACAAGGUAUC